UACGGGGGGGGCAAGCGUUGUUCGGAAUUACUGGGCGUAAAGGGCUUGUAGGUGGCCAACUAAGUCAGACGUGAAAUCCCUCGGCUUAACCGGGGAACUGCGUCUGAUACUGGAUGGCUUGAGUGUGGGAGAGGGAUGCGGAAUUCCAGGUGUAGCGGUGAAAUGCGUAGAUAUCUGGAGGAACACCGGUGGCGAAGGCGGCAUCCUGGACCAACACUGACGCUGAUGAGCGAAAGCCAGGGGAGCAAACGGG
RNAcentral lists this ribosomal RNA (253 nucleotides) under uncultured bacterium. RNAcentral's name for it is "partial 16S ribosomal RNA". It matches the Rfam family "Bacterial small subunit ribosomal RNA", at positions 524 to 776 of the family's 1533-position model. The record is from RNAcentral.